UACGUAGGGGGCUAGCGUUGUCCGGAAUCAUUGGGCGUAAAGAGCGUGUAGGCGGCUCGAUAAGUCUGCUGUAAAAGUCGGGGGCUCAACCCUCGAAAGCCGGUAGAUACUGUCGAGCUAGAGUACGGAAGAGGCGAGUGGAAUUCCUGGUGUAGCGGUGAAAUGCGCAGAUAUCAGGAGGAACACCGGUGGCGAAGGCGGAUCUCUGGGCCUUACCUGACGCUGAGGCGCGAAAGCUAGGGGAGCAAACAGG
RNAcentral lists this ribosomal RNA (253 nucleotides) under uncultured bacterium. RNAcentral's name for it is "partial 16S ribosomal RNA". It matches the Rfam family "Bacterial small subunit ribosomal RNA", at positions 524 to 776 of the family's 1533-position model. The record is from RNAcentral.